RNAcentral lists this long non-coding RNA (4465 nucleotides) under Podarcis muralis (Common wall lizard). Its description in RNAcentral is "lncRNA (ENSPMRG00000014064.1)". The record is from RNAcentral. Lineage: Eukaryota; Metazoa; Chordata; Lepidosauria; Squamata; Lacertidae.
GGAGGUUUGGGACGAAGGAAUGGAUCUGUUCAUUUGGCUGUGAUUUCGAUGCCUGUUCCACCGUCGAAGAGCUUUUCCCAUCAGAAAGUCGUUUCUGUGAUUGAGUUAGGUGGCGGACGGGUGUGGGGGACUCCCUGGUCCUGAGUGGGGCAACUGUGCCCCUGAAGGACCAGGUGCGCAGCCUGGGAAUCAUUUUGGACUCACAGCUGUCCAUGGAGGCGCAGGUUAAUUCUGUGUCCAGGGCAGGUGUCUACCAGCUCCAUCUGGUAUGCAGGCUGAGACCUUGCCUGCCUGCGGACUGUCUCGCCAGAGUGGUGCAUGCUCUGGUUAUCUCCUGCUUGGACUACUGCAAUGUGCUCUAUGUGGGGCUACCUUUGAAGGUGACUCGGAAACUACAACUAAUCCAGAAUGCAGCAGCUAGACUGGGGACUGGGAGUUGGUGCCGACCUUUAAAGCCCUAAACGGCCUCGGUCCUGUAUACCUGAAGGAGCAUCUCCACCCCCGUCGUUCUGCCCAGACACUGAGGUCCAGCGCCGAGGGCCUUCUGGUGGUUCCCUUGCUGCGAGAAGCCAAGUUACAGGGAACCAGGCAGAGGGCCUUCUUGGUGGUGGCGCCCCCCCUGUGGAACACCCUCCCAUCAGAUGUCAAGGAAAUAAACAACUACCAGACUUUUAGAAGACAUCUGAAGGCAGCCCUGUUUGGGAAAGUUUUCAAUGUUUGAUGUUUUGUCACUUUUUUAUUAUUAUUAAUAUUCUGUUGGGAGCUGCCCUGAGUGGCUAGGAAAACCCAGCCAGAUGGGCAAGGUGUAAAUAAUACAUUAUUAUUAUUAUUAUUAUUAUUAUUAUUAUUAUUAUUCACCUUCCUUUCCCAGCCUGGCUUGGUGGCCCUUCCCCAAACGACGACACAGCUUGUUGUUCUUCUCUCUCAGAAAUGGCAGCAGAGGAGAAGCCCCUGCAAGGGCUGCUGAAGUGCCUGAAGGAAUUGAUCGUCCAUCAGCCCCCUCACACAUCCCGCUGGAACCCCAGCAGCAGCUGGCAGCCAGCCCUGCGGCAGAAGAUGAGGGAAGGGGCCUGUGGGUCUCCCCUUGGCCAAGUUAAAAUUGAAGCCGUGGAUGAGGAGCUGCCUGCCCCUAGCCUGGAAAACACUGCUGCACAAGGAGGAUCCAGCCCUCCGGUUGCUCCCUCCUGUCGUGUUUCCACCUGCCAGACUGAAGGAGGCAGGAGAAGGAGCCGGUCAGAGGCAAAGGACAGGAACAUCUUUGCAGUGGUUAAAAUGGAAGAACCAUCUGAGGACCUUGUGCGAGACCUGAAGGAAGUCCCCGAGGAGGAGCGAGACCUGACACCUAGCCUCCCCGAAGGAUCCCUCUCUCAAAGCAGCCCAGAGACAGGGAUGGACCUGGGGAUGUGGGUCCCAUAUUCGGAGGCCUGGAGCCCAGUGACCAGUCCUCUCCAUGGGCUCCUGAACUGCCUGAAGGACAUCCCUGACCCAAGGCCUCAGGCCUCCCAAGCUGUGGCUGGAAAAAGAGGAGGAGGAGGAAAAGAGCGAAGGAAAGGAGGAAAGAGAGGAAGAUUAGAACCACGCAGCAAUGCGGCCGCAGCAGAGAGCAGAGCAGGGCAGCUCCCAGAGCAACACCCCUCCAUCGCUUGCCCUCUGUGGUAAGGGGGCGGGAUUUGGUUUGCGCUUUCUCUUUGCAGUCUGGAGUUGCCAGGGGACUACAGCUCCCAUCAGCCCCCAACCAACAUGGCCACUUUAUUUUGUAACGGUUAUACACCCCUCGGCUGCAAGAAAACCAACCAUCUUGAAGCAGUUCACAAAAGAAAAAGAAGAAAUGAUCCACGACCCAAAUUGACGAGUAAUUUCAGAUUUUCGGAAAGUUAAAUAACAGCAGGCUAAAAACAGAUUAGAACUCGUGCCAUCUUUCUAAAAAAAUCUGGACAGGGUUGAUUAACAAGAACGCUUCCACCAGUUAAAUUGAUGGACUAUGCCGAAACGGCAAAAAAUGACCAGAAGAAUCGGAAAUUGGGAAGGCCAAUAUUUUAAUAAGGAAUGGGGAAAAUUUGUAAUUUACCUUAAAAACCAUUGUAAACAGUUGAAAUCGUUAGUAGGAUUGGAAUAACACUUGUAGUUUAAUGGUGAAUUUCGGAUAUAAUGGAGAUGUAAAAGAUUUGGAUUAUUAUAAAAGAUGCAGGAGGAAACGAUUAAUAAUAGGGCCUACAAUAGGGAGGAGGGAAGUCCAGGAGAUUCUUUAGGAUCUUGUCUUUAUGUUGUACGUUUGUGAUUGUAAAAUUUAAACUUGAAAAACAUAAUAAAUAAAGUUACUUAUUUUUUUAAAAAAGCUUCCACCAGGCGCCGAAAAGAGUGCCGUGAAGGCAGCUUCCUAGAUAUCAAUAGGCAGGGAGUUCCAGAGGUCACGCUACAAACCAUCGAGUUUUGGCAAAUGUGAAACGGGCUUUUCCGGAGCGCCUGUAACUGCCAGUUCCUCUAAUGGAAGCUGCUGAGUGGGUGUUUAUGGGGUAAAGGGAUCUUGUAGGCAAACUGGUCCCAAGUUAUUAAGGUCUUUAUAAACCAAUAGUAUAUUUACUAAUACGGUGCUGUGGCUGAUGGGAUUUGUAGUCCAGAAUUUCUAGAGGCCACCAGGUUGGGGAAAGGCACCCCCACUCAUUCGGUGAGGGUCAGUGAUGGUCGCCCGAACAGGGACCGAUGGCCGCCUGUUUUCAUUUCUUCCAACAGACCCUCUUCCAGAGUGUUUUCUCCCUCGAGGGCCAGAGACCUUCCUUGGUGAAUCGCCCUGCCAAACACCCUCGCCUGUCUCCGGUGUGCGCCAGCAGCCACCGGGGUCCAGACACAGAAUGGCGGAAAUCCAAGGCGGGGACAUCACGAGAAGGUCAGGGGGCGGCUUGCUCCAUCGGUUCGCCAUUCCCUCCUUGGCGUUUCCUGAGCCUCUCCUAACUGGCAGCCGUGAAAAAAACGCAGAUUCCACUCUGUGGAUCGUUAGGAAAGGGAUUGAAAAUAGAGCGGCCGAUGUCUCAAUCUAUGAUGCGACCAUAUUUGAAAACCUGUGUGUCUCUGCUCAGAAAGGAUAUGGAAAGGGGAAGUUUCAGGAAAGGGGUGGCAAAAAGAAAGGGUGAAGCAUUUGGACUUUUUAGUUUAGCGGAAAGGCAAGGGAGAGGAGACACAAUGGAAGUUUAUAAAAUUAGGCACGGCCUGGAGAAGUGAAGUGAAGAAGGCACAGCCUGGAGAACAGCAGACAGAGAAGUGUUUUCUCCCUCUCUCAUAAACAAUAGAACUUGUGGACGUCCCGUGGAGCAAAUGUUGGAAGAUUCGGGACAGGUGAAAGAAGCAGAGUUAAAGUGUGGAACUCCCUGCCACAGGAGGCAGUGACUGCCACCAGCUCGGAGGGCUUCCAAAGAGGAUUAGACUAAUUCAUGGAGGAGGAGAGGGCUCUCAAUGGCUACUAGCCAGGUGGCCGUUCUCUAUGGCCACGGUUGGACAAUGCUUCCAAAUGCCGGUAGCUGAAAACCAUAGGAGAGGAGAGUGUUGCUCUUGUGUUCAAAUCCUACUUGCAGAUUUCCUGCAGGCAUCCGUUUGUUUUUCUUCAGAAAAUUUUGUGCUUCUUAUAUUGUAAUUUUAUGUCAUGAGCCUGCCCUGAGAUCUAUGGAUGAAAGGUUGAAUUGAAUAAAUAACCAUCCGGUUGACCACUGUAAGAAGAGGGUGCCAGACUAGACGGGCCACUGGCCUGGUCCAGCAGAGUCUUUGAUGUUCUUACUGAGCUUCAGGCCUUCUGGUUUAGGAGCCGGCUUACUGUUCUCUCCCUCCUUCCCCACCCUCAGGACUCGGCACCCCCUUGCAAGGCCUGGAGAGGUGUCUGAAGGAGGUCCCCACUGGCGCCCACAGCCAGCCCUGUUCUCCGACCAUCAGCUCCUCCAUCGGCAGCUCCCCAGACAGGCUCCCCCGGCGGACCCCCGCGACCGGGAAGUGGGCGAAGAAGGAGGAAGGUGAGACUCAGCUGCGUGAUGUUGCUGGGAGCCGGUGAGGCUGGGCAGUUGUGGUCGCGGCCAGAUCCACCUGCCAACAACACCAUAGUUUCCCUUGGACAGAAUAUUUGAUCUCUGUCCUGAGCCAGCUUUGCUUCCUCUCAUUUUCGCAGGGCUCAGUCGGAACGGCACCCCUCUGCAGGGGCUGGAAAGGUGUCUGAAGGAGCUUCCCCCUGAGCUCGCCCAGCCAGCCCUCUUCGCCAGCCGUCAGCAGCUCCCCAGACAGGCUCCACAGGUGGACCCUGGAGGCAGGGAGGUGGAUGAGGAGGGAGGGAAGGUGAGUGGCGAGCAUCAAGGUUGGAGGCCGGACGGAAAUCUCCAGCCCGAAAUGGCAAAGAAUACCUUCGCUGCUGAAACGUUGGGAGCCCCAUCAGUUUUGGCAUUCUGUCGGCCUCUGAAGACUCAAGCAUUCCCCUCAUGUCGACUCUCUU